RNAcentral lists this non-coding RNA (30 nucleotides) under Rattus norvegicus (Norway rat). The record is from RNAcentral. Lineage: Eukaryota; Metazoa; Chordata; Mammalia; Rodentia; Muridae.
UCCAAGUCCACGGGUCUUACAUUUGAUUGC